GGCGUUGUCACCGCUGUGGCUCCUCCUGUCACUGCUGUGAAGUGGGUUUGAUCCCUGGCUGGAGAACUUACACUUGCUGUGGGCAAACAAACAAACAAGUAGUUGAGUGAAGUGUAAAAGCUUUUUCAUAUUAAGAAGUGAUACAACUAAUGUGGUUGCCAGGUGUUUAAGGCCACCAUGAUUGAGUCUUGGUCCACCGCUGUAUUACCUUGGGCCGGUAGUCUAACUUUCCUGUGCCUCAUUUUUCACAGUUGCAGGCUUGUCUGUGAGGAUUAAAUGCUGCACCUUCCUUCCUUCCUUUAUUUUACUGGGACUACACCAAGGACUAAUCCCAGUCUAGCUGGAGAGUCAGGCCCAGACACAAUUAUCAAAUGAUAGCAUAGAGCUACAAAUUUGGGUCUGGAACAUAGUAGAUGCUCAAUAAAUAUUAGUUGAAAGAGUGAACGCAACUCUGGCUGGUGGUCUCAGGAAGAGUUCAUGAACAAAGUAAUUUUUGAAUCAGCUCUUGAAAAAUAAAAGUCUGUCUGUUGGAGAAGGAUAUGUGUGAACCAUAUUUCAGAGUCAAAGAGCAUGGCACCUGGGUAAUAGGAGUGGGGUGGUGAGGUCAGGGAGGAGCAGCAAGAAUUCCUUCUUCCUUCUUUCUUGUAGAUUGGUGUCUGCUGUAGUUUCUGGGCACUACAAUCAUUGAAAUAUUCUUGUUUGGGAAACUUGCCUUUGCAGAGGAGGCAAAACUUUACCUCUACCCUUUUAGGGUCUUCAGUUGGACCUGAGAAUUUCAUUGACAUAAGACAGAUUAACAAGAGAAAACAUUCAAAUUUAUUUAAUGACUUGUCUUUUGAUCACCACCAUUCUGCCACUGAGCUGUACACCUCCAAAUUGAGUUUUUCCUAUAUUUUUCUUCUAUAAUUUUGUUUUUCAUAUUUAUUACAUUUUUAGUCCUCCUCAAGCCAGUCUUGUAUAAGGUGUAGAAGUGAUAAAAUAUGGUAAUUGAGGCCUUGAUAUAUUAGUUUCUGGGGGGGAUUAUCAAAGUCUUCAGCUACAAUUAUGCAUCUAUCUAUUUCUCCCUGAAGUUCUGUAUAUUUUAAGACUAUAUAAUUAGGUGCAUCUGUGUGUUUUACCUGUCGCAUUUGUAUGUGCCUACUGCUUAUGAAUAUGUAGUGACUUUUUAUCAUUUAUUAUCUUUUAAGACUA
This is a non-coding RNA of Sus scrofa (pig), 1191 nucleotides long. The record is from RefSeq and is a predicted model, not a curated record. Lineage: Eukaryota; Metazoa; Chordata; Mammalia; Artiodactyla; Suidae.